GUGCACUCGGCCUUCAAUUGCAUUAAAAAGUUAAAUGUAAACAGUAGUCUAUCUCUCUUUUUCUUCAAAAGUCAAAUGGCAGUUACUUGUACAAUUUCACUAAGUAAAAUUUUAGAAAAGAAAAAAAUCGAGUGCAAACUUUACUUGAACACUAAAUCAUAGAAUUUUAAAACAAGGAUCCACUGGCCAAAAGUUUGUUCUACUCUGUUUGCAAUUAUCCAACUGUUCAGUUCUGAUGGUUGAUUUAACAUAUAAAGUGC
This 260-nucleotide unclassified non-coding RNA is filed under the name Hevea brasiliensis (rubber tree). The record is from RNAcentral. Lineage: Eukaryota; Viridiplantae; Streptophyta; Magnoliopsida; Malpighiales; Euphorbiaceae.